Long non-coding RNA from Lagopus muta (rock ptarmigan), 1053 nucleotides. RefSeq lists it as uncharacterized. The transcript is spliced from 2 exons. The record is from RefSeq and is a predicted model, not a curated record. NCBI's taxonomy places the organism in Eukaryota, Metazoa, Chordata, Aves, Galliformes, Phasianidae.
GGAAGCGGCGGGGCUCGGCGGCACCGCCCCUCGCGGCAGGCACGGCCCCGAGCCCCCCGGCUGCGAGCACGGCACGGCGCGGCCCCGCCGCCUGCUGCCCUGCGCUGCGGAGCGGAGCGCGCGUCAGGGCACGGGGCGGUGCGCCGCGUUCCGUUCCGGGGGAGGAGGCGGGAGGACCGCGCGGCGUCGGAGCCCCGGGCAGGGCACGCCGCUGCUUGUAGCCCUGCCGGCCCGGGCUGAACGGGCUGCCGUGUCUGCGUGCUGACCGCGAGCGGAACGCCUGCGUUUGCUCACGCUGCAGACGGGGGUGGUUGCGGUUUGCAAACUCCCGACUCUCGCCGUUGCUGCGGAGAAAACCAGAAGAACCAGCGGUGACUGGCAUGGCAGCAGCUAGCGGCAUUUCUUGGGAGAAGCACACGCGGCACGGCCAGGCCUGCUGAUAUUAGCACCUUCAGGGCUAAGGCAGAGCCUGGAAUGGAUAACAGGACAUCGGUGCAGAGGGGGCGGGAAGGGAGAAUGAUGCCAGCUGCAAUCACGGCCGUAUCAGAAAGGCUGAUAUUCUCCCCAGCACGUCCUUGAAAGAAUAAAGCACUUGGGGAUGGCAUGAGACCUGGAACAGUCCUGUAAGCACAGCGUGUUGCUACUGCACAUCUCACAUACAGGGAAAUACACAACGAAACGAAGCAGUGGGGGAACAGAAUGACAGAGAUGACACAAGACAACAUAUUUCAACUGCUAAGAGUUGUGCAGGAUGAAGCACCUGAGGCAGGCAGAGCGUGAUUCCUGCCCAGCUGUCCAUGGCAGGAGUUCCAGGAGCAGCAGGCACACAAACCCUUGGCAGCUCACUGGUGGAGGGAGGAUGACUUCCAUGCUCACUUCUGAGUCCACCCAACAGAUUGUUCGUAAGAUGUCAAAAUAAAUCAGUAAAUAAAUAGAGGUGGAGUGUAGUCCUUGCUUUAGGUAACCAGUUGUAGAACAGCCCUUUCAAUCCACAGCACCACUUGCAAUGAGUGGGAAAAGAAAGGAAAAAGCAGCAAUUGCAAUUCUUUUUUA